UUCACUCUAGCGAGACUGCCGGUAAUAAACCGGAGGAAGGUGGGGAUGACGUCAAAUCAUCAUGCCCCUUAUGACCUGGGCUACACACGUGCUACAAUGGCUGGUACAACAAGUCACAAGUCGGUGACGGCAAACUAAUCUCUUAAAGCCAGUCUCAUUUCGGAUUGUAGGCUGCAACUCGCCUACAUGAAGUCGGAAUCGCUAGUAAUCGCGGAUCACCACGCCGCGGUGAAUACGUUCCCGGGCCUUGUACACACCGCCCGUCACACCACGAGAGUUUGUAACACCCGAAGUCGGUGAGGUAACCAUUUGGAGCCAGCCGCCUAAGGUGGGAUAGAUGAUUGGGGUGAAGUCGUAACAAGGUAACCGUAA
RNAcentral lists this ribosomal RNA (372 nucleotides) under uncultured bacterium. RNAcentral describes it as "bacterial SSU rRNA". It matches the Rfam family "Bacterial small subunit ribosomal RNA", at positions 1134 to 1505 of the family's 1533-position model. The record is from RNAcentral.